CAGUAGCCGCGGUAAUACGAAGGGUGCAAGCGUUACUCGGAAUUACUGGGCGUAAAGCGUGCGUAGGUGGUGGUUUAAGUCCGUUGUGAAAGCCCUGGGCUCAACCUGGGAAUUGCAGUGGAUACUGGGUCACUAGAGUGUGGUAGAGGAUAGUGGAAUUUCCGGUGUAGCAGUGAAAUGCGUAGAGAUCGGAAGGAACAUCUGUGGCGAAGGCGACUAUCUGGGCCAACACUGACACUGAGGCACGAAAGCGUGGGGAGCAAACAGGAUUAGAUACCCCAGUAGUUCCUGUCUCUUAUAC
RNAcentral lists this ribosomal RNA (301 nucleotides) under uncultured bacterium. Its description in RNAcentral is "partial 16S ribosomal RNA". It matches the Rfam family "Bacterial small subunit ribosomal RNA", at positions 509 to 807 of the family's 1533-position model. The record is from RNAcentral.